Molecule: long non-coding RNA, 4356 nt
Filed under: Homalodisca vitripennis (glassy-winged sharpshooter)
Lineage: Eukaryota; Metazoa; Arthropoda; Insecta; Hemiptera; Cicadellidae
Description: uncharacterized LOC124369854
Source: RNAcentral
UGAUGAAGUAAUCUCCAGUCGUAUUCCAAGUAAUAUGCCAUUCCUAGGAGCACGCCUCACAGACCAUGAGCAAUAACUUCCUCAAAUAAGUCAUGGACUAAUUUCCAGCCUAUUCCUAAACAUUGAAAUGUACAAUCCCUGGAACACAACCCACCGACAAUGAGCUUCCUGAAGUGGUUUAGAACGAUGAAUAUGGAAGUGGCGAAACCCUAUGGUAAAGAGGAGUGGCCUAAAAUGUCCACAUGAAGUUGAGUUCCGUGAGAUUAUAUAAUUAAUAAAUAUAUCGAUUACUCAAGCAAAUCAAUAAUAUUUUAUGAUAAAGACAAUGAAAAAAUAAAGUAAUUAAGGAUGGCUUUACUAGAAGAAAGCGAAAUUCUAACAAAAGAAGCUUGAAACUAAUUUUAAAAUAGUAGAAGUCAAAUUAGAGAAAAUGGAAAUCAAUGAAGGAAAGCAGAAUGGCAGGAUAGAAACCUUGUUGUAAAAGCUUGCAGGAUUGCAAGAAAAACGUGAUAAGAAGAAUACAUUUCGUUAUAAAAACACCAGAUAUUAUUUAAGACCAUGAUCUUAAAUUUGGACAACUCAUUGACAACAUUUUAAAAAAUAUACAAAAAAACCAUUUUACUGUUGCACAAAAACUUGCAAGUGAAAGAGUAAUAUUUUAGACUAACAGUGAUCCUUACACUUAAAAUGACCCUUUUGUAAAUUAAUAUACCAAAUAGUUACAAAUCUCAGUCUCUAUAGUCAUAGAAAUAAAUAAUAUUAAAGCAAAACUUGACCUGGUGUAGUUAGUAAUAAAACUAUUGGCAAUUGAAUCAUGGACAGAAUGUAUAUUAUCUAUUAAAGUGGAACAAUGUACGUCAAAGCAGCACAUAUUACCCAGUAGGAGUAAAGUAAGUACUGGAACAAAUAAAUAACAAUGUUUUCAGUAUCUCGUUCCAAGUAGCCAAAUAUAUAAUGCUAUCUAUCCGCAGAAAGAAAAACUCUUUACAGGCAGCAAAAACAGUCAAAGAGAGCCAUGAAUUUCCCAAACUCCUCAAAGUGCGGAUUACCAGAGAGAAACCACGACCAAAAACUUCCAAUAAGCAAUCGCCUUAUACAGCCCGCAAACUAGAACAAGGUGAGGCAUUUAAAAACAUCUUUACAAAGAACAUUUCGUACUUUAAGAAGAAUUCAGAAGCACGAAUUAACACCCUAAAACAUUCCAGCAGAUACAGGACAAAUCUGAACAGAAACAACAGAAGAAAACUUAAGCUCAAAUAAACAACAAGCCAAGAAAAAAGUCCCUCUAUUAAUUUCUUCUUUUAUAACUGUGUAGUGCAGACUCAGUUCACAAAAAGUACGAAACAAAAACAAUAUAUUCCAACGCACAAGAUCAAAUCUGAAAAAAGUAAUAAAAAUUCUUCAUCAAAAUGAUCAGUAAAUGCAAAACAAAAGGGACAGGGUAAUUAAUUUCCUUGAAGCCACGUAACCGUAUAUAGUUAUUUUGGCUGAAAAUGGACUGAGAAAUGACUUUUUAGAGGACUCAAAAAUUCCUAGAUAUGACUUUAAAAACAACUUUAGACGAGUACCAUAAAAAAAGGUGGAGUGGAAGCAUCCUUAGUGGAGUUAUAUGAAGAAAGCGUUCCGUCAGUAAAUAUUACACACUAAUGCAAUGAAUUCAUCUGUGUAAUGGCCUUGUUAAACAUCUUCCAUAGAAAGGAACAUCUGUACUUUGUAAGCAUAUACACACAGCUUAAAUGAUGCACUACUUCCCUCACUAAUGCUAUGUAGAUGCAGUUCAAAAAAGAAAAAAACAGUGCAUUGAGAACUCUGCUAGAAAAUGAUACCUCGAAUGGAGUGUACAGUGCUUCAGCUGUUGAUAAUGGAUACAACAUUUUAUUAACAACAAACAUACCAUAAACAACGUUUAUGUAUAGUACUUAUCCAUUGGUAAUAAUGAAGCUAAAAAUACUCCAAAACACAAGACCUUCUGAGAUAAAGAAGCCCCAACCUUAAGACAGAUUACCCCAAAUCUUUUAAGACCUUGAUGUAGUCGACCACAUGCACUACCAACACCUGGGAGUACUCAUGAACCACUGGAUUAUGAAUCAGAGUUACAAAUUAUUAGAUGUCUCAUUAUUUUUUGGGUACCCUUGCUGAGUUGCUGGGGAUACUUUCUUUGCACACAACUGCUUAUUCUGCACCAAGCCUGGCUGGCAUACAGGAUAUACAAGGUAUCUACUCCAAGCUAAUGGAUGAGUUGGGUACAUAAAAGGUUGAGGAUUUUGUUGAAUCUGCAUGGAGGGCUGGACUUGCAAUACAGCAAAUUCCUGUUUCAACUGAUGUAGUUGGCGUAGACACUUGAGCAUUGUUUAUAUAUUUAUUCUUGCGAUUUGACUUUGCUUUGAUACGAAAGUUGCUGCUGCAAAUCAUUGACAGAAGUUUUUUUUCCUGGUUCCACAUUCGGUUCAGCCUGUGAUUGGAUCAAGUUGUGCUCCAGAGAAAGUAAAAAUUAUUAAAUGUCGAUUGUGAGUUAAUAUUGCAUGUUUAAUGUGCUGCUGAAACAAAUUGUAGAACCUAAUCUGAUUCUAGCUAACGUUAUUGGUAGCAUUGUCUUGGUAAUAAAUAUUUAUCCCCUGAACGUUAAAUAUUCAUGUUUAGGAGCAUUAAUGGCCACUUUUUGAUUGGUUUGAUGGCCAUUAGGUGAUGUUGAGUGUUAUUGCUCAGACCUGGCAACAUGCUUAUCACUGUACGACACACUACAGCAUAUCCUGGAGUUCCUCCUGUACAAUUCAACAGGUUAUUCCCUACAAUUAGUAGCUAAAAAAGCAACCAAUAAAACCAAAAUUAGCAUCCAACUAAGGCUUACAAAUAACUAGCAUCCUGAUUUACUUGGUGACCUAAAGGAAUUUGAAGAAGAACCAUUUCAUUAUGAGAUUGAAUUUCCAAUAUUUCUGUGCUGUGACAUGUAGUCCAAACAUGAGAGGAUAUGACACUUCAAACACUUUUGUUAGAGUUCUAAUCUUCUUGAUAUUUUGGGUACCAUUAUUAUACGAUAGAUUGAAAAGGAAGGAAGAAUACAGUGCCCUCAGGUUACCUAAGUAUUUCCGUCUACUAUAAACCUAAUGCUGACUAAUUACAGCAUGCUACAACAACCUGUCGAGUUCCAACCCAAAGGCCAUGAUCAAAGGAUAUACCAUGUUUGACCGUUGCUGUGUAGAAAAAUCAUCCCGCGUCUACUGAAGAUCCCUCGACAUUGUACAGAGUUCCAAAGGGAAACAGCUUCGGCAAGCAAAGCAUAGGAUUGUUCAAAGAAUGAAAAACAUGGAACUAGCGAACACCAGUGGUAAAGAAGAAUGGUAUGAAAAAUCCACAUCAAGUUCAAAUAAGUGUGAUGUAAACCCUCCAAUCACCAACACGGAUUAAAAACAUAGUAUAUUUGCUUAAUCACAUUUUACAUAAUUAGGGAACCAUCUUUAACCGAUUAGAAUCACCGCCACCGAUGAUAUCCAAUCCAAUCCUGCAUCAACGUCAGCCCAUCCCAAAGUGCAAGGGUCACAACUUUCUUGUAAUAGUCGCUAAACACAAGCAAACUCGUGUGUGGACAACAAGUCACAGUAUGAAGCAAUUAAAACAAAAAUAAGUGACAAAGGAUAAAACUCGUAUAGGCUCCCAAGUAUACCAGAAAGCUGCUAAUUUUUAAGCCUUACUAUUUGCUGUUAUUUGUAGGUGAUGACCUGUUGAAUUGUACAGGAGGAGCUCCAGGAUAUGCUGCAGUGUAUCGUGCAGUGAUAAGCAUGUUACCAGGCCUUGCGCAAUAACACUCGACAUCAUCUAAUGGCCAUCGAACCCAUCAGCAAGUGACCAUUAAUGCUCCUAAACAUAAAUAGUUUACGUUCAGGAGAUAAAUAUAUAUUACGAAGACAAAUUUAACAUUAACGUUAGCUAUAAUCAGAUUAGGUUCUACAAUAUUUUCAGCAGCACAUUAAACAUGCAAUAUUAACUCACAAUCGACAUUUAAUAAUUUUACUUUCUCUGGAGCACAACUUGAUCCAAUCACAGGCUGAACCGAAUGUGGAACCAGGAAAAAAAACUUCUGUCAAUGAUUUGCAGCAGCAACUUUCGUAUCAAAGCAAAGUCAAAUCGCAAGAAUAAAUAUAUAAACAAUGCUCAAGUGUCUACGCCAACUACAUCAGUUGAAACAGGAAUUUGCUGUAUUGCAAGUCCAGCCCUCCAUGCAGAUUCAACAAAAUCCUCAACCUUUUAUGUACCCAACUCAUCCAUUAGCUUGGAGUAGAUACCUUGUAUAUCCUGUAUGCCAGCCAGGCUUGGUGCAGAGUAAGCAGUUGUGUGCAAAGAAAGUAUCCCCAGCAACUC